Molecule: ribosomal RNA, 177 nt
Filed under: uncultured Limnohabitans sp.
Lineage: Bacteria; Pseudomonadati; Pseudomonadota; Betaproteobacteria; Burkholderiales; Comamonadaceae
Description: partial 16S ribosomal RNA
Rfam family: Bacterial small subunit ribosomal RNA
Source: RNAcentral
UGGGGAAUUUUGGACAAUGGACGCAAGUCUGAUCCAGCCAUUCCGCGUGCAGGAUGAAGGCCCUCGGGUUGUAAACUGCUUUUGUACGGAACGAAAAGGUCUCUCUUAAUAUGGGGGGCUCAUGACGGUACCGUAAGAAUAAGCACCGGCUAACUACGUGCCAGCAGCCGCGGUAAU